RNA transcript from Corvus hawaiiensis (hawaiian crow), 5908 nucleotides. It is a transcript of the gene named diphosphoinositol pentakisphosphate kinase 2, with no coding region annotated. NCBI's taxonomy places the organism in Eukaryota, Metazoa, Chordata, Aves, Passeriformes, Corvidae. The transcript has 30 exons. The record is from RefSeq and is a predicted model, not a curated record.
UGCCCCCGGAAGUGGCGGUAGGGAGGCGAGGGGGCGGGGAAGCGGCGGCACCGCCUCCUGAGGACAGCGCGGGGCCGCCGCGGGCAGGUUAAAACGUCAUACUGUCUCAGGGAAGCACCAGCAUAUUGUUUCUUGGAGCAGCAACUCUAAUCAUUAAUGAGCAGAUGAUAACCAGUUAAACAGUGCCUGGUAAACAACGCAAUCACAGUGGCAACACUGCUCAAGCAACAUCAAAGAGGAAGGGACUUUAGUGUUCCCGAGUCAGCGGGAAACAUGCCCAGAAUCUCAGCUGCAAGAGUGCCUGUAAUUUUUACAUAGAUUUCUGUAGGUCUUGUAACCAUGUCUGUUAAUGUGACAGAGAAUGAUCCUCCCAGAUUCUUUGUUGGUGGAGAAGAUGGAGAAGGAUUAUUGGAUUCAGCCAGAUCUACAGAUUAUGAACACUUCUAUGACCAUGGGGAAGAAGAGGAGGAAGAGUAUGACUCUCCACCAGAAAGACAAAUUGCAGUUGGGAUUUGUUCAAUGGCUAAGAAAUCAAAGUCCAAACCAAUGAAAGAAAUUCUUGAACGCCUCUCCAUGUUUAAGUAUAUAACUGUGGUGAUAUUUGAAGAGGAUGUUAUUUUGAAUGAGCCAGUAGAAAACUGGCCUUUAUGUGACUGUCUCAUUUCUUUUCACUCUAAAGGGUUUCCUCUGGACAAAGCAGUAGCCUAUGCAAAACUCAGGAAUCCAUUCGUAAUCAAUGACUUGAAUAUGCAGUACCACAUACAGGACAGAAGAGAAGUCUAUGGUAUUCUUAAAGCUGAAGGCAUUUUACUUCCUCGCUAUGCAGUUCUGAACCGUGAUCCAAACAAUCCCCAAGAAUGCAACUUGAUUGAAGGAGAAGAUCAUGUGGAAGUAAAUGGAGAAAUUUUCCAGAAGCCCUUUGUAGAAAAGCCAGUUAGUGCUGAGGACCACAAUGUUUAUAUUUAUUAUCCAACAUCUGCUGGGGGUGGAAGCCAGAGGCUCUUUCGAAAGAUUGGCAGCAGAAGCAGUGUUUAUUCUCCUGAAAGCAGUGUGAGAAAAACAGGCUCUUAUAUUUAUGAGGAAUUCAUGCCUACAGAUGGAACUGAUGUGAAGGUGUACACAGUAGGUCCAGACUAUGCUCAUGCUGAGGCCCGGAAGUCUCCAGCUCUGGAUGGCAAAGUAGAACGAGAUAGUGAAGGAAAAGAAGUGAGAUAUCCAGUCAUCCUGAAUGCAAGAGAGAAGUUAAUUGCUUGGAAAGUAUGCCUUGCCUUUAAGCAAACAGUUUGUGGCUUUGAUUUGCUACGUGCUAAUGGACAGUCCUAUGUCUGUGAUGUGAAUGGCUUCAGUUUCGUGAAAAACUCCAUGAAAUACUAUGAUGAUUGUGCUAAGAUACUGGGAAAUAUUAUAAUGAGAGAACUUGCUCCCCAAUUUCAAAUACCAUGGUCAAUUCCUUUAGAAGCUGAAGACAUUCCUAUUGUGCCAACCACUUCUGGAACAAUGAUGGAGCUUAGAUGUGUUAUAGCUGUAAUACGCCAUGGGGAUCGAACACCAAAGCAAAAAAUGAAAAUGGAAGUAAAACAUCAGAGAUUUUUUGAUCUCUUUGAAAAAUGUGAUGGAUAUAAAUCUGGAAAACUGAAACUGAAAAAACCGAAACAGCUUCAGGAAGUGCUUGAUAUAGCAAGGCAGCUCCUUGUAGAACUUGGGCAAAACAAUGAUUCUGAAAUUGAAGAAAGUAAAGCAAAACUUGAACAGCUAAAGACUGUGUUAGAAAUGUAUGGGCAUUUUUCAGGCAUAAAUCGCAAAGUUCAGUUAACAUAUCUUCCUCAUGGCUGCCCUAAGACUUCUAGCGAAGAGGAAGAUAAUAGAAGAAAUGAGCCAUCCCUGCUUCUGGUUCUAAAAUGGGGAGGAGAAUUGACCCCUGCAGGCAGGGUUCAAGCAGAGGAGCUUGGAAGAGCUUUCAGGUGUAUGUAUCCAGGCGGACAAGGAGAUUAUGCUGGAUUUCCUGGAUGUGGUUUACUUAGAUUACAUAGCACUUACCGACAUGAUCUCAAAAUCUACGCUUCUGAUGAGGGACGAGUUCAGAUGACUGCAGCAGCUUUUGCAAAGGGACUACUGGCCUUAGAGGGAGAGCUGACUCCUAUUCUUGUCCAGAUGGUAAAAAGUGCUAAUAUGAAUGGUCUGUUGGACAGUGACAGUGAUUCUUUAAGCAGCUGUCAACAUCGUGUUAAAGCAAGGCUCCAUGAAAUUCUCCAGAGAGACAGAGAAUUUACUGCUGAUGACUAUGAUAAGCUUACUCCAUCUGGAAGCAUCUCACUGAUAAAAUCAAUGCAGGUUAUUAAAAAUCCUGUAAAGACAUGUGACAAGGUCUAUUACUUGAUCCAGAGCUUGACUUCUCAGAUCAGGCAGAGAAUGGAAGACCCGAAGUCUGCAGAUAUUCAGCUCUAUCACAGUGAAACUCUAGAACUGAUGUUGCGCAGGUGGGCCAAGUUGGAAAAAGACUUCAAAACAAAAAAUGGAAGAUAUGAUAUUAGCAAGAUUCCUGAUAUUUAUGACUGUAUAAAAUAUGAUGUACAACACAAUGGAUCCUUAAAAUUAGAAAACACAAUGGAAUUAUAUAGGCUUUCAAAAGCUUUAGCUGACAUUGUGAUUCCUCAGGAAUACGGUAUUUCAAAAGCUGAGAAAUUGGAGAUUGCCAAAGGUUACUGCACUCCUCUGGUCAGAAAAAUUCGUUCUGACCUUCAGAGAACUCAAGAUGAUGACACUGUAAAUAAGCUUCACCCUCUCUACUCCAGGGGUGUUAUGUCCCCAGAACGCCAUGUUCGUACCCGGCUGUAUUUCACCAGUGAGAGUCAUGUCCACUCCCUGUUAUCCACCCUUCGCUAUGGUGCCUUAUGUGAUGAAUCAAAAGAUGAACAAUGGAAACGAGCUAUGGAUUACUUAAAUGUGGUCAAUGAACUCAAUUACAUGACACAGAUUGUUAUCAUGCUUUAUGAGGAUCCAAACAAGGAACUUUCUUCGGAAGAACGUUUUCAUGUAGAGCUGCACUUCAGUCCAGGAGCUAAAGGCUGUGAGGAAGAUAAAAAUUUACCAUCUGGAUAUGGAUACCGACCUGCCUCCAGAGAGAAUGAAGGCUCAAAGAAAACCUCUCAGAGAACUGAUAGUGAUGAGGAGGCACAUGCUCCUAAAAGAGAUGAAACGGAUCGAUCAAUAGUGAUGUUCAAGCCAAUGGUAUCAGACCCAAUUCACAUACACAGAAAGUCACCCCUUCCAAGAUCCAGGAAGAUUGGUUCUGUUGAAGAAGAGAGCCCCCUGAGUGUGUCUAGCCCAGAGUGUAUUGGUACCUGGCUGCAUUACACCAGUGGUGUGGGUACUGGGCGUCGAAGACGCAGAUCAGGGGAACAAAUCACUUCUUCCCCUGUCUCCCCUAAAUCACUGGCUUUCACAUCCAGUAUUUUUGGCUCAUGGCAACAGGUCCUAUCAGAAAGCAAUAGUAACUUACGAACACCAAGAACUAUUCUGGAACAAAAGCAGAGUGGUCUAGGGUCUCACUGUGCGGGCCUGUUUAGCACCUCAGUGCUCGGGGGUUCUUCAAGUGCACCUAACCUACAGGAUUAUGCUCGUACUCAUCGUAAAAAGCUGACUUCUUCUGGCUUCAUAGAUGACACCACACGCGGUUCUGCUGUUAAAAGGUUUUCUAUCUCAUUUGCUCGACACCCAACCAAUGAUGUGCAAAUUACUUAAAUAUUGCACUAAAAAUCACAGCAAGAGAGCUGUGACUUCUUGAGCAGCAUUGACCUCUUGAACUUCAAGAGUGAGAGUUAACUGUCUUCAGUUUGCAAAAAUUCUCGUUUAACACACGGGACAGAGACUACCCCCCCCAUCUUUAGUUCAAGGAACAUGGUGAAACAAGUAUCUUCUGAAAAUGCUAUACCUUAUUUUCUGGGCCUCUGCAGAACACCCACACCUCUUUAGGUGCUGGUCCAUUUCCUCUGUGGAAUUUCUAGGCUCCAGUGGUAUGUCUCUACAGCUUUUGAAUCUUAAGACAGCAGGGUGGCUUUUUGAGAUGCUGCGUUAACCCUUUCAUUGUCUUGCCUUUUGAUGCUUUAAGAACAAAUACAGCCAAAGAUCAAAGGCUGUUAGUGUACAGGAAAUUGCCUUCUUAAAGGGAUACUGUCGGGCUUCUUCAUCAUAAAAUUUCAAAUUUAUUUCUCAUAACAUCAUACAAUACUUAUAAGAAAAUGUUCAAAUAAAACCCUACAUGCAGAUUUCCAGAUUAUGGUUUAAGCCAUAUCCCUUAGACAUAAAGAUACUACAAUGACUUUAUGGGAUAUGAUUAGCGGACAGCAGAAUUGUCAAAAGUCAACAAAAAAUUUGGAGGGGAAAUUCCUAAACCAAUAAAAUUUUAUUUCUUCUCUUUUUUUUUUAAGGGGCAUGAGUGCAUUUUGGAAUUCCUUUCUGGUUCUCUAUAACAUGGACUAUAACAAUAAUAGUUACAAAAAAGUUAACCUGACAUUGUCCCACUUCAUUAAUUGCAAAAUCAGAAAAACAUUCUCAUUCAAGUGAUAGUUACUUUUCUGUCAGGGUAAAGAGAAAUCUUACGUUUUACUGUAAUGCAACGAAAGGGUUUGCGCUUUACAUGCAUGCAUAUAGUUAUUUAGGGUAUUAAUAUCUAUGCCAAGCAUCUUAGUGCUUACACUGAAAGUUAGCUACUGACCUUAUAGGGGAGUAGAAAUUAACAGUAUGGUGCUGUUUCUUUUGUAUACAAACCCCAAGUUUUCAUGAAAUGCCACAUUUUGUUUAUAAUCUAAGUGAAGCUGACAUAAGUACACUUCAGUUGGUUGAAUAUUUGUAGCAAUGGUCCCUGAAACUUGAGUAUGGCCAAGGUGGAUCUGAAUAUAAGUAUAGACAUUUAGGGGUUGAAAUCUUGUUGAAUUUCUUCCUUAUGCAAAGUACUAAUGGGGAGUGAAUGGGCAACAUUGGAUAUCACAGGAACAUUGUUGCUUAUUAUUUUAUGGAAAAGAACAGUUCACAGUCAUAAUGCUAUCUCGAAUGUACCUUGAACUGAAAUUCUAAACAUUAUCUCAUUCACUAUUGCUUCUUCAUGUAAUUGUCUUAGCAGAAAUUUACAGUAUUGAAUUGCAAAGUUUUAAUGUUACAGCUGUAUGUUGAAAACACUAAUGGACAUAUUUUCCUCUUCUGAAAUGCAAUUGGAUGAAAAGCUGUUUAUUGAGUUACCACACUUUAGAGGACUGAAAAUUAUUUUUUAGCCAAGAUGUUUAAAUGCUUUUUAGUCUGUUAGUAAUAUGAAUAAGCAUGGUUAGUGUAUGAUCAAUACUAACAUAGAAAAGCAUAGUCCAAAAAAUUCUUAGAUUUUUGGGUUGCUUUACUUACUUGUUCUAAUAUAUGAAAUUUCUAGUCUUUUAAUACUGUUUUUAAAUGCACAAAGGUAGGUGUAUAUCUGUCUCAGAAAGUAAAACCAUGUAGCCUCAAGGUAUAAAAAUGCUAACAGUGGUUUUCCUUUGAUAUUAAAGGCAACAGUUUGUUUUCACAGAAUACUGAAGAUGAUAGAACAUGAAUUCUGCAAAUUUAUUUCUUGGAAGAUACAGCAUUUUUAGCUCUUUUCUGCUAACAAAAUAGCUAUCCUACUUUCUUGCAUGAAUGAAUUAUCUAUCUAGUCUUGUGCCAGGUAUGAGAAUGAGUAGGAGAAAUUCUACCUUUUCCUGACUUUUUUUUUUUUUUUUUUAAAGUUAUCUGCUAAGUUUGUCCUAAAGGGAAAUUAUCUUUUCAUGAACUGAUUUGGGAGUAGAGCACAGUUCUAAUGUUUGAAUAAUUUAUGUGUACCCAUGUACUUCAUGUGUACACGGGAUUUGUAUCCCAUGGUAUGUUACACAGUAUCUUUAGCUUAGUA